UUUGUACUCCCCCCCGUCCCAAAAUUCUUGUCUUAAAUUUGUCUAAAUACGGAUGUAUCUAGUUACAUUUUAGUGUUAGAUACAUCCGUAUCUAAACAAAUGUAAGACAAGAAUUUUGGGACGGAGGGAAUACUAC
Non-coding RNA from Triticum aestivum (bread wheat), 136 nucleotides. The record is from Rfam. Lineage: Eukaryota; Viridiplantae; Streptophyta; Magnoliopsida; Poales; Poaceae.